ACGGGAGGCAGCAGUGGGGAAUAUUGGACAAUGGGGGAAACCCUGAUCCAGCGACGCGUGAGUGAUGACGGUCUUCGGAUUGUAAAGCUCUGUCUUCAGGGACGAUAAUGACGGUACCUGAGGAGGAAGCCACGGCUAACUACGUGCCAGCAGCCGCGGUAAUACGUAGGUGGCAAGCGUUGUCCGGAUUUACUGGGCGUAAAGGGAGCGUAGGCGGACUUUUAAGUGGGAUGUGAAAUACCCGGGCUUAACCUGGGUGCUGCAUUCCAAACUGGGAGUCUAGAGUGCAGGAGGGGAAAGUGGAAUUCCUAGUGUAGCGGUGAAAUGCGUAGAGAUUAGGAAGAACACCGGUGGCGAAGGCGACUUUCUGGACUGUAACUGACGCUGAGGCUCGAAAGCGUGGGGAGCGAACAGGAUUAGAUACCCUGGUA
This 431-nucleotide ribosomal RNA is filed under the name uncultured Clostridium sp. RNAcentral's name for it is "partial 16S ribosomal RNA". It matches the Rfam family "Bacterial small subunit ribosomal RNA", at positions 341 to 792 of the family's 1533-position model. The record is from RNAcentral. Lineage: Bacteria; Bacillati; Bacillota; Clostridia; Eubacteriales; Clostridiaceae.